GCAGGUGUAUAUGCAAUUUCAGGAUUGCACCAGGAAAUAACCUGUUGAGAAGUCAGUGCUAGGAGAAAGCUAUGCUUUCCAAAUGAAUCCUAUGCCUUCUAAAAGGACAUCCAUAUGAUCCACAUAUGUUUUCUUUCUUUGCCUUAGCUACCAGGGAGCUAGCAGUUAAAUUAGGUCUUUCUCCUAGUGGAGAAAUCACUUGGGCCACUUGUGCAUCUAGAGUGUCAGACCCAAGCUGGGAAAAAGAAUCAUCCUUAAAAGUAUUUCAUCAGCCCUCGAGACUUAUACAGAGCCGGCGAAAUUGGUCCUGGUCCUCUCCUGACUCCACAGAGACUGAAAACAUCAGGAACGAGGACCUUGCAGACUUUGGUAUGAGCAAAGAUCUGACCCCUGGGGUGCUCAGCCUCCUUUGAGGUGACUUCAUGAUGGUAUCUAAAGAAGAGACUGUCAUUCUUGCUGAACAAAUGAUCCCAGAUGUUCCAGAAGAAAGACCUGUUCUUCUCUCUGCAAUUUGUCAGUUCAUCCCCACCCAAUACUUAUCAAGGACUACCAUGAGUCAGAGACUCUGCCAGCACUGGACACAGAAGGAAGAAGGCCUGGUCUGGGACAUCAUGGUGUUUAAAGUCCAGAGAAGUCAACGAGUGGGAAGGUGCCAAGAGCCCUUGCUCUUCCUGGUGUCUUUACCUGGUGAGCUCUGCCCCAUAUAUCCUUGUAACUGUGGUGUACAGAAUAAUGGUCCUCAAUGAUGUCCAUGUCCUGAUUCCCAGAACCUGGGAAGAUACGACCUCACAAGGAAAAAGAGACUUUGCAAAUAUGAAUGAGAUAAAGACCUGAAGAUAACGAGAUUAGCUUGAUUUGUUCAAGGGGGUUUAAUGUAGUUAUAAGACCCCUUAAAAGUGGACACAAGAGGCAGAAGAGUCAGGAAGAUAGAUAGACCCACCACUGCUGGGUGUAAGCAUGGAGGAAGGGGCCACAAGCCAAGGAUG
This 986-nucleotide long non-coding RNA is filed under the name Rhinopithecus bieti (black snub-nosed monkey). RNAcentral's name for it is "lncRNA (ENSRBIG00000045038.1)". The record is from RNAcentral. Lineage: Eukaryota; Metazoa; Chordata; Mammalia; Primates; Cercopithecidae.